Molecule: transfer RNA, 73 nt
Organism: Camelus ferus (Wild Bactrian camel)
Lineage: Eukaryota; Metazoa; Chordata; Mammalia; Artiodactyla; Camelidae
Rfam family: tRNA
About the family: Transfer RNA (tRNA) molecules are approximately 80 nucleotides in length.
Source: Rfam
CAGGGUAUAGCUCAAAUGGUAUAGCACAUGCUUGGCAUGCAUGAGGUUCUGGAUUCAAUCUCCAGUACCUUCU